RNAcentral lists this ribosomal RNA (457 nucleotides) under uncultured bacterium. Its description in RNAcentral is "bacterial SSU rRNA". It matches the Rfam family "Bacterial small subunit ribosomal RNA", at positions 1 to 507 of the family's 1533-position model. The record is from RNAcentral.
CGAUACGAGUUGAUCAUGGCUCAGAGCGAACGCUGGCGGCAGGCCUAAUACAUGCAAGUCGAACGGUCUCUUCGGAGGCAGUGGCGGACGGGUGAGUAACGCGUGGGAACGUGCCCUUUGGUACGGAACAACUGAGGGAAACUUCAGCUAAUACCGUAUGUGCCCUUCGAGGGAAAGAUUUAUCGCCAUUGGAGCGGCCCGCGUUGGAUUAGCUAGUUGGUGGGGUAAUGGCCCACCAAGGCGACGAUCCAUAGCUGGUCUGAGAGGAUGAUCAGCCACACUGGGACUGAGACACGGCCCAGACUCCUACGGGAGGCAGCAGUAGGGAAUCUUGCGCAAUGGGCGAAAGCCUGACGCAGCCAUGCCGCGUGAAUGAUGAAGGUCUUAGGAUUGUAAAAUUCUUUCACCGGGGACGAUAAUGACGGUACCCGGAGAAGAAGCCCCGGCUAACUUCGUG